Hirundo rustica (Barn swallow) is the source of this 3543-nucleotide long non-coding RNA. RefSeq lists it as uncharacterized. The transcript has 3 exons. NCBI's taxonomy places the organism in Eukaryota, Metazoa, Chordata, Aves, Passeriformes, Hirundinidae. The record is from RefSeq and is a predicted model, not a curated record.
GGGGAGAAUCCUUAGGGAGGAGGAUCUUUGAGGACCACAAAGGAGAGAAUAAUGAAGCAGACUCCUGGGGAGAGAGAAUUAUGGAUGCAAGGUGCCACAUCUUUGUCAUCUGAGCAGAGGAUUUGUGGCAAAUGGGUGUGAUCAAGGCCUUGGGCUAACAUGAAGCCAAGCUCUGUCAGUGUACGUGGUCUUCUGGAACUCAGCAUCAGGGAUGCCCUUGUUUUAGAGACAUUCAGCCCUCCAGGUGGAUCAGUCGUCAGCCUGUUGGAAGUUUCUAUCGAGAUAGGGAAUUUGCUGACUGGUAUUGUCACAUCUGUGUUCUUUUAAUGACCUGUGUAACAGUUUCAGAGUGAUUGAGUAGGGCCUGAAUUAUUUACUUUUCUUAUUCUACUUCACAGAACUUGGUUGUGUUUUCCUUCAAAGAGGUGUUUGUCUAACUCACGUAUAAGGAGAAAGUUUCUUAAAGAUUGGGUUUGUGUUGUGGCAUAGAAUUCAAUUUUAUAAAUAUUUCAACAGACACUUAUCUCUUUUGAUGCCGUGCUGGUGGGUGUUGCAAAGUUGGCCUAUGGUUGCUAUAUGUGAAGCCUGAAGGAGGAAAUCUUGUUUCUCUGGAAGGGUGAGAAUGAAAUUGGAUGCAAUGUCACUCCAGGUGAACAGAACAGCUUUUGGUAAGGAGAACGCGAGUAUAAAAUGCUCAUAUAGAUUAAGUCAAGACACGUAGGAGAAGCAGUGACAUAUUUAAGGUGGUUUAUGUCAAACUUCUGUAAAAAUACACAAUGAACCCAGGUAUGUAUGGUAUCACCUUUGACUGUCUGUUGCUUGCUGCCUCUCCUGGGCACAAUUCAUAUGUAUAAAUACACCAAAGUGCUAUAUCCCGUGGAAGCAAAAACAGAUGGCAUGGUUCAGUGUUAUAUGUGUUUCUGAAGCACUCUGUAACAGCAUUAAUUGACCUAAAAGCCAGUCUGUGAUGUCUGUCAGGAUGCAGAAUGUAUUUUGGUAGCUUUCUCCCUCCAAUGUUGUGCCUGUAGGUCCUACCACUUAGUAUUUUGUUGCUUCCAAAUGUAAAUCAAAAGGCCAAAGAGUAAAACUGGAGGAGAUAUUGCUUGUCUCAAGGGGUCAGAAAACCUUUCCACAUUAAUAAAUGGAUUGCAGACUAUGCAUCCUAGAUAACUCUCUGGCUAAGUCAUGAAAUAGUUAUUUUUUGAAUACUGAUUUCCAUUUCUAUGGAAUUGUGGUAAGUUUGAGGGGCUUUUUUUUCUGAAGUAACUACUUCAUUAUAGACAGUGUAAUGAAGUAGUUAUUUGUAGUGAAUGCUAUCUGCAUGGCUGAAAGGCAGUGGGUUAAACCUGGAAGUUUCAGUUUACUUUUCUUUGUGAAGCUUGCUGCUUUGGUUUUUCACUCGUAUACUGUGCUAUUUCAGCUCUCAGGAAUCUUUCAGAAUCCAAGAACUUGACAGAAUAGCAGCUCUGCUUUCAUCCUUUGUGACAUGACAUCAAAAAAUUCAGAUUUAGUUUCAAUUUUUCUGUGUAUUUUGGCCACUUCAGAAGGAAUAAGCAGUGGUUCAGGUAUUCAGUUGCUGAAAUUAGUUCAUUAAUUUCCACCUAAAAAUUAAAUGGAAGUGAAUGUCCAUAUUUCCCAAGACCAUGAGAAGUUGGUCAUAGCCAGAGGGUUUGACUAAUAAUUGAGCUUGUGGUGAACAAAAAUAAACUAUUGCAAGAUGCCUUAAAGCUGUGGAAGCUAUUAAGACAAAAUUUCUGUUAGGCUUUCCUGCUGGAACAUCAAAUUCCCCCAAACUGAAAACUGUUGCUCUUGAGACCCCUCAGGAGAACAGUGAAUUAAGGUCUCUAUUUGCUGCAUGGUACUGAUGCAGGAUUUUGGGAAAUGGAAAGUAUUAGCAUUGUAUUCAUUACUAUAGUAAGAAAACAAUGAAAAUAUUCAGGCAAAGCAUGGAAAAAAAAGCGAAACUUGGUUUCAGUCAUGGGUUUUCAGAAGAUAGUCAUGGAAGAUAAAAAAGUUUUUUAGCAUAUCAAACUGAAUGCUUGGCAACUGUUGGUCUUGAGCAAUUCUGAAUUUUUAUACAGUGCUGAAGAUGCAUCUGAGACUAACAAUUCCUUUGAAGGGUCUGAGCUUCCUAUGGCUGUUGGAAGAAACCAAAUAUUUGGUUUCAGUAGCUUUAGUGCAUGUUCUUCUGUGUGGGCCAAGCAAAGUCCCAGUUCCCUGAGCUGUAAUUUGCUGGCAGCAACACUUUGAUGUUUCCUCAGAAGAAGUAAGGAAAAGUCUGCCUAAAACUCAAUUUUGUGAGUUGGAACUUUUGUUCCUGGAAGACAUCAAUGCAAAUAUCUGAGUAUUUUACUUUCUAUCAAAAAAUGUGGGCUGAAUUGACAUCCUCCUGGAAUAAAUCAAGUCUAUAUAUGCUAUCAUAAAAAGAACUACAGGAAUUUUUGGUUCUUGGCACAAAGCCAUGCAAAAGGUGCCUGAAUCUUUCUUUUACUUUAACUGCAUUCUUUCCAUAACACUUGAUCAAGAUAAACUCCCCAUUUUUUUGUUAUUGGCCAAAAGUCUAUAAUUUGAUUUUCAAAUACAUGAUUUGUUGCCAAGCUCCUCUAUUUAUCUUUUGGUCAUAUUUUCUUCAGUUAUGCAAUAAAUAUUUAAUUACAACCGUCACUGAAAGUUUUCUGCUUUACUUUUGUCUUGGGUACCUGUGUUGAAGAACCCAUGACAAGUAAUUGAAGUAGUAUCUAAUACCUGAUGCAUUAUCCCGUGUGAUGUGCUGGGGUUUACUUGUUUCAAGAAGCCCACCUCUCCAUUUGACUGUAAUUCACAUUUUCUAAUAUAGACUUUAAUUUCACUGUAGAAGUCCCUAAUUUCCCAGGUAUGAACUUGGUUUCUCUUCAUAGGUUAUUCUCUGUUCACCCCAAUGUGGCUGAGGAUGGAAAAGAGCAAUAGCCUCAAAAUGUGGCUGUGAGCUAGACUACCUGUUUUUGUAGUUAUAAAGAUAUUUCUGAUUGCUUUGGAUAUCUCUAGUAUGUUUUAGCUUGUAUCAGUAUGGACUCCUAAACACCAACUGUAAUGAAGUCCAAAUGUAAUGCACUGUAGAAAAUAUUUUAAUUGCCUUUAUCUAAGCUUUCCUCCUUCUGUUCCCCACUGUUAUAUCCUGGGGUUUUGUGAUAACUGGCUUCCUAUUCUUCCCUCCCCUGUCUCUCACCUAUCUUGAUUUAGAGAGAAAUAUUUUUUUACCUUUAUCUGUUUUGCAAAAUUUUUCCUAUCCACUGUCUAAAUAUACUUCUAAUUUCCUUUUAAGAUAAUACCCAAAUACAUAAACUACUUUCUUUUUUUUUUAGUGAUCUGGUAUCCUGGAGUUUUACUCCUGCCACCAUUGGUUACAUCAAUUCCACCUUCACUUGUAUAUAUGUGCACCUAUUCCCACCUGCAGUAGAUCAGAUUCAUGUUGUAAAUCAGUAGACUUACAUAUGAGAUGUGGAGACAGGAGGGUCAUUAGUUUAGAAGAUUCAAUUCUACAGCCUAAAUGAUGUAAUGAUUUCC